GCUUCGGGCAUUGGUACCGGCAACGACUGGCUGACAGCAGUGGCGACCGCACUGAGCGAGGUCGGGCAGGGCCCAUUCGAUUUGGCUGUGGUCUUCGCCCACCCGGCCUACGCGGGGGCGCUCUCCGGCAUUGCGCGGGCGAUCGAAGCCCGGUUGACGCCGCGGGUCCUCAUCGGUUGCACCGGGCAGGGCGUGAUCGGUACCGCGCGGGAAGUGGAAGGUGAGCCGGGCAUCGCCGUCGCCGGGCUUUCGCUGCCGGGGGCGAAGCUGGCCUCGGGCAGGGUCGCGCAGGGGGAAAUGGUGGCAACGCCGCUCGAAGCGGAGGAUUGGCGCGCGCUCAU
This 341-nucleotide unclassified non-coding RNA is filed under the name plant metagenome. RNAcentral describes it as "partial contains 5.8S ribosomal RNA, internal transcribed spacer 2, and large subunit ribosomal RNA". The record is from RNAcentral.